This 700-nucleotide ribosomal RNA is filed under the name uncultured bacterium. Its description in RNAcentral is "bacterial SSU rRNA". It matches the Rfam family "Bacterial small subunit ribosomal RNA", at positions 695 to 1396 of the family's 1533-position model. The record is from RNAcentral.
UAUUAGAAAGAAUACCAAUUGCGAAGGCAGCUUUCUGGAUCAUUACUGACACUGAGGAACGAAAGCAUGGGUAGCGAAGAGGAUUAGAUACCCUCGUAGUCCAUGCCGUAAACGAUGUGUGUUAGACGUUGGAAAUUUAUUUUCAGUGUCGCAGCGAAAGCGAUAAACACACCGCCUGGGGAGUACGACCGCAAGGUUAAAACUCAAAUGAAUUGACGGGGACCCGCACAAGUAGUGGAGCAUGUGGUUUAAUUCGAAGAUACGCGCAGAACCUUACCAACACUUGACAUGUUCGUCGCGACUUUAAGAGAUUAAAGUUUUCGGUUCGGCCGGACGAAACACAGGUGCUGCAUGGCUGUCGUCAGCUCGUGUCGUGAGAUGCUGGGUUAAGUCCCGCAACGAGCGCAACCCUCACUUUUAGUUGCCAUCAUUUAGUUGGGCACUCUGAAAGAACUGCCAGUGAUAAGCUGGAGGAAGGUGGGGAUGACGUCAAGUCCUCAUGGCCCUUACGUGUUGGGCUACACACGUGCUACAAUGGUAUCUACAACAGGAAGCAAGACUGCGAAGUUAAGCAAAUCCUUAAAAGAUACCUCAGUUCGGAUUGCACUCUGCAACUCGAGUGCAUGAAGCUGGAAUUACUAGUAAUCGUGGAUCAGCGUGCCACGGUGAAUGCGUUCCCGGGCCUUGUACACACCGCCCA